Molecule: non-coding RNA, 123 nt
Organism: Ustulina deusta
Lineage: Eukaryota; Fungi; Ascomycota; Sordariomycetes; Xylariales; Xylariaceae
Source: the annotation of a GenBank genome assembly
GGUGAGAUGGCCGAGUGGUUAUGGCGCUGCGUUCAGGUAAUCUGAAUUCUAGAUAUUGAUAUUAGUAUCAUGUUCAAACUCGCAGUGGAGCAAUCCGCGUGGGUUCGAGUCCCACUCUCAUCA